CGAAAGAUGGUGAACUAUGCCUGGCCAGGAUGAAGCCAGAGGAAACUCUGGUGGAGGUCCGAAGCAGUUUUGACGUGCAAAUCAAUUGUCAGAGCUGGGCUUAGGGGCGAAAGACCAAUCGAACCAUCUAGUAGCUGGUUCCUCCCGAAGUUUCCCGCAGGAUAGCUGGAGCACCACAAAUGAGUUCCAUCUGGUAAAGCGAAUGACUAGAGGGAUUGGGGACGAAACGUCCUUGACCUAUUAUCAAACUUUCAAUGGGUGAUAUGCUGAGCUUGCUUGAAUAUGCGAGUGAGUGAAAAACCUUGUCCCCGGACGAGGUCUAGUAGCCCUUGCCAAUGAAGCUUUUGCUUAAAUCUUAUGUGCACCAAGUGGGCCAUGUUUU
This 382-nucleotide ribosomal RNA is filed under the name Phylladiorhynchus lini. Its description in RNAcentral is "partial large subunit ribosomal RNA". It matches the Rfam family "Eukaryotic large subunit ribosomal RNA", at positions 817 to 1139 of the family's 3401-position model. Lineage: Eukaryota; Metazoa; Arthropoda; Malacostraca; Decapoda; Galatheidae. The record is from RNAcentral.